Molecule: ribosomal RNA, 424 nt
Filed under: uncultured bacterium
Lineage: Bacteria
Description: partial 16S ribosomal RNA
Rfam family: Bacterial small subunit ribosomal RNA
Source: RNAcentral
AAUAUUGGACAUUGGGCGCAAGCCUGAUCCAGCCAUGCCGCGUGUUUGAAGAAGGCCUUAGGUUUGUAAAGCACUUUUGUUCGGGAAGAAAAUCCAUUGGUUAAUACCCGGUGGUCCUGACUGAACCGUAAGAAUAAGCACCGGCUAACUUCGUUCCAGCAGCCUCGGUAAUACGAAGGGUGCAAGCGUUACUCGGAAUUACUGGGCGUAAAGCGUGCGUAGGUGGUUUGUUAAGUCUGAUGUGAAAGCCCUGGGCUCAACCUGGGAAUGGCAUUGGAUACUGGCAGUCUAGAGUGCGGUAGAGGGUAGCGGAAUUCCCGGUUUAGCAGUGAAAUGCGUAGAUAUCGGGAGGAACAUCCGUGGCGAAGGCGGCUACCUGGACCAGCACUGACACUGAGGCACGAAAGCGUGGGGAGCAAACAGG